RNAcentral lists this long non-coding RNA (217 nucleotides) under Ananas comosus (pineapple). RNAcentral describes it as "long non-coding RNA (ACOM_LNC034427)". Lineage: Eukaryota; Viridiplantae; Streptophyta; Magnoliopsida; Poales; Bromeliaceae. The record is from RNAcentral.
GAGCCGGGACCGAGCGAGCCGGCGAGCGACCGAGGUAAAGGUAUCGCGCCUUAGUCAGAGGCCACCAAAGUUGGGUUACAUUUUGUUAGUAGACACCCUUUUAUCAUCUUUGUACUUGAUGAUUAGUGAUGUAAAGAAAGAAUGAAAAGCUUAUUUUGAGGUAUAUGUGAUGUAAGAAAAAAAAAAUGAUGAAAUUAUGUAAUGAAAUGCAAAGAAU